GUAGCUAUCUAAAUAUUAGUGGUGAAAUAUCGGAACACCCUCUCUACGGAAAGUCGAGUGCACCGCGACACGUGGAUGAAUAUGGCUAAUCUAUUUAUAAAUUAACAUCGCAAAAUUAAUAAAUAUAUCUAGAAUCAGAAGAACACACUGCGGUGAACGAUUGAAAAGUUUUACCAAAUAAAAUUCUACAUUUUUAUCUUAAACUUAACCAGUCUACUUAGAAAGGGGACAAUAUUUAAUCAAACUUUUAGUAACUGACAAAAUCUC
Molecule: long non-coding RNA, 267 nt
Filed under: Mytilus galloprovincialis (Mediterranean mussel)
Lineage: Eukaryota; Metazoa; Mollusca; Bivalvia; Mytilida; Mytilidae
Source: RNAcentral